GAUGAGCCCACAUCCUAUCACGCUUGUUGGUGAGGUAACGGCUCACCAAGGCGACGACGGGUAGCCGGCCUGAGAGGGUGUCCGGCCACACUGGAACUGAGACACGGUCCAGACUCCUACGGGAGGCAGCAGUGGGGAAUUUUUCGCAAUGGGCGCAAGCCUGACGAAGCAACGCCGCGUGGAGGAUGAAGGCCCUCGCGGUCGUAAACUCCUGUCUAGCGGGACGAAAGUUUGCUGGGUGAACAAUCCAGCAGAUUGACUGUACCGCUGGAGGAAGCUCCGGCCAACUCCGUGCCAGCAGCCGCGGUAAUACGGAGGGAGCAAGCGUUACUCGGAAUUAUUGGGCGUAAAGGGCGCGUAGGCGUUCCUGCAAGUCCAUUGUGAAAGCCCCGGGCUUAACCCGGGAAGUGCAGUGGAUACUGCAGGAAUUGAGUUCCGGAGAGGAAGAUGGAAUUCCCGGUGUAGCGGUGAAAUGCGUAGAUAUCGGGAGG
Molecule: ribosomal RNA, 491 nt
Filed under: uncultured Acidobacteriota bacterium
Lineage: Bacteria; Pseudomonadati; Acidobacteriota
Description: bacterial SSU rRNA
Rfam family: Bacterial small subunit ribosomal RNA
Source: RNAcentral